GUUGCGCCCCCAAUGCCUCUA
This 21-nucleotide non-coding RNA is filed under the name Arabidopsis thaliana (thale cress). Lineage: Eukaryota; Viridiplantae; Streptophyta; Magnoliopsida; Brassicales; Brassicaceae. The record is from RNAcentral.